GUCCCGGGAGCGCACGUGCGCGGCGGGGGGGCGGCGAGGGGUGGGCUGCUCGCGCUCCCCUGGGAGCUCUGGGGGUCCGCAGGGCGCCGGAAGGGUGCCGGGAUGCACCCUCGGGGGUUCGGGCGAGGUCUGCCGCCUCGGCUUCUGCACCGUGCUGCGGUGCAAAACCACAAACCCUGCUGCAGCAGCAGCGACGCCGGGAAGAGCCAUCCUCCGAGACUACGGCAGUGGCUCCUCUCCACUCACAGCUGACCCCGGGGUGCUGUCACCGCGCCGCGGAGCAGAGGGGGGCGUUGCCGCAAGUCGGGAAGCUCCCUGCCUCUCCAUCCUUUGCGCAUUUUGGUCUAAAAUCAACUCGCAUCGGUUAUUAUUUGGAAUCUGGGCCUAAAAGUUCUAUUGGUUGUCUUCAUUCAGAGUUAUGGACUGGAAGAUUGGAAGUGACCUGGGAAGGGAGAGGAAGGACAAGAAAGGGUAAAAGAGCAGCUACCCCGGAAGGUAGCCAUGAGUGUGAGCAUGCGUGCUCAGUCAUGGCCGACUCUGCGACCCCAUGGACUGAAGCCCCGAAGACUCCUCUGUCCGUGGAUUUCUCCAGGCAAGAAUACUGGAGUAGGUUGUCAUUUCCUCCUCCAGGGGAUCUUCCCGAUCCAGGGAUUGAAGGCACAUGUGUUGAGUCUCCUGCAUUGGCUACUUCUAUUCUUAAGACGUGAUUAUUCUUGCUCAAACUCUUAAGUGCUCUGUGCUUCUAAUCAUACACACAUUUCAGCCACUACUCACCUCUCCACUCACUCUGCUUCAGCUAUGUGAUCAGCCUCCAGCUAGUCCCUAAACCAGGGAGGGCACCCUCUCCUGGCUUUUAAAUUAACCUUUUCAGUUGCUGUCUAAAAUACUUCUGGGGACUUCCCUGGCAGUCCAGUGGCUAAGACUCCAUGCACCCAAUGCAGGGGUGUGGGUUCCAUCCCUGGUCAGGGAACUAGAUCCCACACGCUGCAACUAAGGGUUCGCGUGCCGCAACUAAAGAUCCUGAAUGCUGCAACUAAAUCUGGCACAGCCAAAUGAAUAAAUUUUUUAAAAAUUAAUAAAUAAAAGAAAUA
This 1091-nucleotide long non-coding RNA is filed under the name Bos indicus x Bos taurus (hybrid cattle). RNAcentral describes it as "lncRNA (ENSBIXG00005028680.1)". Lineage: Eukaryota; Metazoa; Chordata; Mammalia; Artiodactyla; Bovidae. The record is from RNAcentral.